UACGGGGGGGGCAAGCGUUGUUCGGAAUUACUGGGCGUAAAGGGCCAGUAGGCGGCCAACUAAGUCCGACGUGAAAUCCCAAGGCUUAACCUUGGAACUGCGUCGGAUACUGGAUGGCUUGAAUUCGGGAGAGGGAUGCAGAAUUCCAGGUGUAGCGGUGAAAUGCGUAGAUAUCCGGAGGAACACCGGUGGCGAAGGCGGCUUCCUGGACCGACACUGACGCUGAGGCGCGAAAGCGUGGGGAGCGAACAGG
Molecule: ribosomal RNA, 253 nt
Filed under: uncultured bacterium
Lineage: Bacteria
Description: partial 16S ribosomal RNA
Rfam family: Bacterial small subunit ribosomal RNA
Source: RNAcentral